AAGACCUUGCGCUUUUGGAGCGGCCGAUGCCUGAUUAGCUAGUUGGUGGGGUAAAAGCCUACCAAGGCAACGAUCAGUAGUUGGUCUGAGAGGACGGCCAGCCACACUGGGACUGAGACACGGCCCAGACUCCUACGGGAGGCAGCAGUGGGGAAUUUUGGACAAUGGGCGCAAGCCUGAUCCAGCAAUGCCGCGUGAGUGAAGAAGGCCUUCGGGUUGUAAAGCUCUUUCAGUCGAGAAGAAAAGAUUGUGACGAAUAAUCACAAUUCAUGACGGUAUCGACAGAAGAAGCACCGGCUAACUACGUGCCAGCAGCCGCGGUAAUACGUAGGGUGCAAGCGUUAAUCGGAAUUACUGGGCGUAAAGGGUGCGCAGGCGGCUUUGUAAGUCAGAUGUGAAKUCCCCGGGCUUAACCUGGGAAUU
RNAcentral lists this ribosomal RNA (423 nucleotides) under uncultured bacterium. Its description in RNAcentral is "bacterial SSU rRNA". It matches the Rfam family "Bacterial small subunit ribosomal RNA", at positions 207 to 622 of the family's 1533-position model. The record is from RNAcentral.